Molecule: ribosomal RNA, 200 nt
Filed under: uncultured bacterium
Lineage: Bacteria
Description: partial 16S ribosomal RNA
Rfam family: Bacterial small subunit ribosomal RNA
Source: RNAcentral
AGAGUUUGAUCCUGGCUCAGGACGAACGCUGGCGGCGUGCUUAACACAUGCAAGUCGAGCGAGCCUUCGGGCUAGCGGCGAACGGGUGAGUAACACGUGGGCAACCUGCCCCUAGCACUGGGAUAACCCCGGGAAACCGGGGCUAAUACCGGAUACGACCUCGAAGGGCAUCCUUCGAGGUGGAAAGGGUUUCUGGCUAG